UAGGGAAUCUUCCGCAAUGGGCGAAAGCCUGACGGAGCAACGCCGCGUGAGUGAUGAAGGUCUUCGGAUCGUAAAACUCUGUUAUUAGGGAAGAACAAAUGUGUAAGUAACUAUGCACGUCUUGACGGUACCUAAUCAGAAAGCCACGGCUAACUACGUGCCAGCGGCCGCGGUAAUACGUAGGUGGCAAGCGUUAUCCGGAAUUAUUGGGCGUAAAGCGCGCGUAGGCGGUUUUUUAAGUCUGAUGUGAAAGCCCACGGCUCAACCGUGGAGGGGCAUUGGAAACUGGAAAACUUGAGUGCAGAAGAGGAAAGUGGAAUUCCAUGUGUAGCAGUGAAAUGCGCAGAGAUAUGGAGGAACACCAGUGGCGAAGGCGACUUUCUGGUCUGUAACUGACGCUGAUGUGCGAAAGCGUGGGGAUCAAACAGG
RNAcentral lists this ribosomal RNA (429 nucleotides) under Actinomycetes bacterium. Its description in RNAcentral is "Actinobacteria bacterium partial 16S ribosomal RNA". It matches the Rfam family "Bacterial small subunit ribosomal RNA", at positions 355 to 776 of the family's 1533-position model. Lineage: Bacteria; Bacillati; Actinomycetota; Actinomycetes. The record is from RNAcentral.